CACUGUCUUGUAAGCUGUACGGCCGUAAAUGUUUAGACACUUCCAAGAUGGCGGACGCUGAAAGUCAACACAGGUUAACAGUCAAUGCACUUGAAGAAUCAUUUCAUGAGGAAACACAGACAAAGCUAUGUGCUGAUUGUGGGAGAGAGUUCAAGACCAGGAGUGGGCUUAGAAUGAAGGUCACAUGAGAAAACACGGAUCAGAUAUGUUAACAUGUGACAAAUGCCAUAAAAGCUUUACACAUUUACAGUCCGUGAAGAGGUAUAUGAAGACAUGCUCCAUAAAGGAGGAUAACAGUGGUGGUCACUCGUCUUUCAAACAUAUGUUUCGUAAAAUCUAGCAUUACCAUCGUAAAGAACCGGUAAAAAGCUUCAAAAUACCACAGAAAUAUUCAAACAGAUAUGAUUAUUGAAUAAGAUACGACCGAAAAUAAUGUGCGUUCCUCGAUUCGAUUUUACUUUCAUCAAAUUGGCACAUUUUGCGUCAAUAUAAUUCGAGAAAUAAUGAAAUCAACAAACUUUUAGAUAAUGCCGAGGAGGAACAUGUUAUUCCGCUAUCAUUUGCUAUAAGUGUGGCCGUUAAAAGUGUUGAAGAAAACAUGUUAUCAAUGAAAAACUGGAACACCUACCUGUGUUGACUUUCAGCGUCCGCCAUCUUGGAAGUGUCUAAACAUUUACGGCCGUACAGCUUACAAGACAGUGAUCUC
Long non-coding RNA from Mercenaria mercenaria, 706 nucleotides. RefSeq lists it as uncharacterized. The record is from RefSeq and is a predicted model, not a curated record. NCBI's taxonomy places the organism in Eukaryota, Metazoa, Mollusca, Bivalvia, Venerida, Veneridae. The transcript is spliced from 3 exons.